GACGAACGCUGGCGGCGUGCUUAACACAUGCAUGUCGAACGGAAAGGCCCUGCUUUUGUGGGGUGCUCGAGUGGCGAACGGGUGAGUAACACGUGAGUAACCUGCCCUUGACUUUGGGAUAACUUCAGGAAACUGGGGCUAAUACCGGAUAGGAGCUCCUGCUGCAUGGUGGGGGUUGGAAAGUUUCGGCGGUUGGGGAUGGACUCGCGGCUUAUCAGUUUGUUGGUGGGGUAGUGGCUUACCAAGGCUUUGACGGGUAGCCGGCCUGAGAGGGUGACCGGCCACGUUGGGACUGAGAUACGGCCCAGACUCCUACGGGAGGCAGCAGUGGGGAAUAUUGCACAAUGGGCGGAAGCCUGAUGCAGCAACGCCGCGUGCGGGAUGACGGCCUUCGGGUUGUAAACCGCUUUCGCCUGUGACGAAGCGUGAGUGACGGUAAUGGGUAAAGAAGCACCGGCUAACUACGUGCCAGCAGCCGCGGUGAUACGUAGGGUGCGAGCGUUGUCCGGAUUUAUUGGGCGUAAAGGGCUCGUAGGUGGUUGAUCGCGUCGGAAGUGUAAUCUUGGGGCUUAACCCUGAGCGUGCUUUCGAUACGGGUUGACUUGAGGAAGGUAGGGGAGAAUGGAAUUCCUGGUGGAGCGGUGGAAUGCGCAGAUAUCAGGAGGAACACCAGUGGCGAAGGCGGUUCUCUGGGCCUUUCCUGACGCUGAGGAGCGAGAGCGUGGGGAGCGAACAGGCUUAGAUACCCUGGUAGUCCACGCUGUAAACGGUGGGUACUAGGUGUGGGGUCCAUUCCACGGGUUCCGUGCCGUAGCUAACGCUUUAAGUACCCCGCCUGGGGAGUACGGCCGCAAGGCUAAAACUCAAAGGAAUUGACGGGGCCCCGCACAAGCGGCGGAGCAUGCGGAUUAAUUCGAUGCAACGCGUAGAACCUUACCUGGGUUUGACAUGGAUCGGGAGUGCUCAGAGAUGGGUGUGCCUCUUUUGGGGUCGGUUCACAGGUGGUGCAUGCCUGUCGUCAGCUCGUGUCGUGAGAUGUUGGGUUAAGUCCCGCAACGAGCGCAACCCUUGUUCACUGUUGCCAGCACGUUAUGGUGGGGACUCAGUGGAGACCGCCGGGGUCAACUCGGAGGAAGGUGGGGAUGACGUCAAGUCAUCAUGCCCCUUAUGUCCAGGGCUUCACGCAUGCUACAAUGGCUGGUACAGAGAGUGGCGAGCCUGUGAGGGUGAGCGAAUCUCGGAAAGCCGGUCUCAGUUCGGAUUGGGGUCUGCAACUCGACCUCAUGAAGUCGGAGUCGCUAGUAAUCGCAGAUCAGCAACGCUGCGGUGAAUACGUUCCCGGG
Molecule: ribosomal RNA, 1343 nt
Filed under: uncultured bacterium
Lineage: Bacteria
Description: 16S ribosomal RNA
Rfam family: Bacterial small subunit ribosomal RNA
Source: RNAcentral